GACCCGACUGCUAUCGGAUAGAGAUUAAGCCAUGCGAGUCGAACAUUUCUCAACUAUGUGAGAAGUGUGGCAUACGGCUCAGUAACACGUGGUCAACCUACCCUAAAGACAUGAAUAACCCCGGGAAACUGGGAUUAAUAUAUGAUAGGUCAUUUUUCCUGGAAUCGGUUUAUGACUUAAAGGAUUGUUAAGCAUGUUUGAUUAAUUGCUUUAGGAUGGGACUGCGACCGAUCAGGUUGUUGGUGGGGUAAUGGCCUACCGAGCCUAUAACCGGUGCGGGCUUUGAGAGAAGGAGCCCGGAGAUGGACACUGAGAAAAGGGUCCAGGCCCUACGGGGCGCAGCAGGCGCGAAAACUUUGCAAUGUGCGAAAGCACGACAAGGUUAAUCCGAGUGCAACAUGCUGAAUGUAGCUUUUGGUAAAUGUAAAUAGUUUAUUGAAUAAGGGGAGGGAAAGUCUGGUGUCAGCCGCCGCGGUAAUACCAGCUCCCCGAGUGGUCGGGACGAUUAUUGGGCCUAAAGCAUCCGUAGCCUGUUCUGUAGGUCUUAUGUUAAAAUCAAUUGCUUAACAAUUGAACUGCAUGAGAUACCACAAAACUAGGAGGCGGGAGAGGUGGACGGUACUCCACGGGUAGGGGUAAAAUCCUCUGAACCGUGGAAGACCACCAGUGGCGAAGGCGGUCCACCAGAACGCGCUCGACGGUGAGGGAUGAAAGCUGGGGUAGCGAACCGGAUUAGAUACCCGGGUAGUCCCAGCUGUAAACGAUGCAAGCUAGGUGAUGCAUCAGCCACGUGUUGAUGCAGUGCCGCAGGGAAGCCGUUAAGCUUGCCGCCUGGGGAGUACGGUCGCAAGGCUGAAACUUAAAGGAAUUGGCGGGGGAGCACCACAAGGGGUGAAGCCUGCGGUUCAAUUGGAGUCAACGC
RNAcentral lists this ribosomal RNA (922 nucleotides) under uncultured marine archaeon. RNAcentral describes it as "bacterial SSU rRNA". It matches the Rfam family "Archaeal small subunit ribosomal RNA", at positions 20 to 918 of the family's 1478-position model. The record is from RNAcentral.